This 498-nucleotide ribosomal RNA is filed under the name uncultured bacterium. Its description in RNAcentral is "partial 16S ribosomal RNA". It matches the Rfam family "Bacterial small subunit ribosomal RNA", at positions 30 to 523 of the family's 1533-position model. The record is from RNAcentral.
AUUGAACGCUGGCGGCAUGCCUUACACAUGCAAGUCGAACGGUAACAGGUCUUCGGAUGCUGACGAGUGGCGAACGGGUGAGUAAUACAUCGGAACGUGCCUAGUAGUGGGGGAUAACUACUCGAAAGAGUGGCUAAUACCGCAUGAGAUCUACGGAUGAAAGCAGGGGAUCGCAAGACCUUGUGCUACUAGAGCGGCCGAUGGCAGAUUAGGUAGUUGGUGGGAUAAAAGCUUACCAAGCCGACGAGCUGUAGCUGGUCUGAGAGGACGAUCAGCCACACUUGGACUGAGAAACUGCCCAGACUCCUACGGGGGGCAGCAGUGGGGAAUUUUGGACAAGGGGAGCAAGCCUGAUCCAGCAAUGCCACGUGCAAGAUGAAGGCCUUCGGGUUGUAAACUGCUUUUGUACGGAACGAAAAGCCCCAGGUUAAUACCCUGGGGUCAUGACGGUACCGUAAGAAUAAGCACCGGCUAACUACGUGCCAGCCGCCGCAGUAA